This 1576-nucleotide long non-coding RNA is filed under the name Phoenix dactylifera (date palm). RNAcentral's name for it is "long non-coding RNA (PDAC_LNC014342)". The record is from RNAcentral. Lineage: Eukaryota; Viridiplantae; Streptophyta; Magnoliopsida; Arecales; Arecaceae.
CGCGCCUCGGGCUCGGGGCGUGACAGAUUUGGUGGUAUCAGAGCUCAGAUUUCAGAUUCCUAGGGAUUGUGUUUGAAAUAGUCAGACGGAGCUUAAGUUUAGGAUCUUUAGGAUUCGUCGGAAAGUUUGAGAGAUGGGUAGACAUUAGGCCAUUAGACGAAGGUAUUUAUUUGCUUUUAUUGUUGAUAAAUUUGUGUUAUUUCAUCAGAAUUUUGAAAUGCUAAAAUUAGAAUGCAACCUAAUUAUGGUCGUUACCAAAGUGUGAAUAAGCUACUAUGAGAGUUUUCUUGGUGGAGCAAUUUGUAUUUCAAGUUAUGAUUAAUUAGAUUUUGGCUAAAUUAAGUGAAGGAAUAUUAAUCAUGAGAUAUUAUCGUGCAAUUUAAUUAUUUUGGAAGUUUAACUUGAUAUCAGGCACUGUGGAUAUUGCUUCUAGUUGAAGUUAAUUAUUUUGAUGGCAAAUUAAGAUUCAUCUAUAAAAAAAUGUUUAAAGUUUGGACUAGAAAAUAUUUAUUGAAAUCUGUAUGUGGGUCAUGCAUGGAACUCGUAUAUAGAAGGAAAAUAUACUUGGGGAUGAGACUUAAGAAUUUUUAUUUGGCUCUACUUGAGACUUGAAACAAUUAAGAUUGAUAUUUUGAUGGAAAGUCAAUUAGUACAUCUUGAGAAUAUUAGUGUUAAAAUAUUUUUGGGUUGGUCGAAGAUAGGACCUCUUUGAUUUGGAAAAGUUCUUGAUGGUUUUUCUUGUUAAUAAAAAAAAGAUUGUUGGAAAGCAUAAUACUUAUGAUUUUGAUCGAUAUGGAUAUCAUUGUGUUAUUAGUAGAUUCUCUAAGUCUAGUAGAUUUACAAGAUCCCGAAAUGUUUGCAGUACUGCAAAUAAAAAUAUUCUACUUAUUUGAGGAGUUGAUCUCAAUGUAAAAUCAUAUAGCUUAUAUCUGGGUAGAAAUUUUUGUAAAUCUUUAAACUAGAUUAUUAGAUUCUUGUGAAUUAAAUAUUUAUAAAUCAAGGCCAUGAGUUGAUUAUGGAUUUUGUCUCACCAUAUGAGAAAUGCAAGUGGGAUUUCAUGAGAGACCCAAAUAAGUUUAGCCUAAAGAAAAGAUUCAGGAUGAUUGACUAGGCUCUUGAGUAAGCUAAUCUGGAAUCUUUUAAUUAUCAAAGCUUAGAAUAAAUAUUAACUUGUAUAAUAGAAUUGUCAAGGGAAACUAGAAUUGGCUUAGUUCAAAUUUGGAUCUAAAAUAUGAUUACUUGAUCAUAUGAUUGUAUAAAUACGACAACUAUCUCAAGGGUUAAUCAUGACCUAGUGUACUUGGGAAGCAAGGAUAAAAUGUUGCUUGGAUAUUAAAAAGAAAAAAAAAAUGCUGAUAAUUUGGGAUCAUUAAGAAAGUUUGGAGAAUAUUGAUCUGAGUUGCGCAGCGGAAAUUUGAUGGACUGAGUAAAUUUAAACUGGUCAAAAAUAUUGACUGUGUUUUGGUAACAUGUUAUAAUAAAAGACUGUUGUUCAAUAAUGAAAGAUUUUGUUAAUAAGGAAAGGUGAAUACUAUUGAUUCUCAGGUCAAUCAUGAUAUGUUAUCUUCUGUAUAAA